UACGGGGGGGGCAAGCGUUGUUCGGAAUUACUGGGCGUAAAGGGCUCGUAGGCGGCCAACUAAGUCAGACGUGAAAUCCCUCGGCUCAACCGGGGAACUGCGUCUGAUACUGGAUGGCUUGAGGUUGGGAGAGGGAUGCGGAAUUCCAGGUGUAGCGGUGAAAUGCGUAGAUAUCUGGAGGAACACCGGUGGCGAAGGCGGCAUCCUGGACCAAUUCUGACGCUGAGGAGCGAAAGCUAGGGGAGCAAACAGG
Molecule: ribosomal RNA, 253 nt
Filed under: uncultured bacterium
Lineage: Bacteria
Description: partial 16S ribosomal RNA
Rfam family: Bacterial small subunit ribosomal RNA
Source: RNAcentral